RNAcentral lists this ribosomal RNA (119 nucleotides) under Ricinus communis (castor bean). Lineage: Eukaryota; Viridiplantae; Streptophyta; Magnoliopsida; Malpighiales; Euphorbiaceae. The record is from RNAcentral.
GGGUGCCAUCAUACCAGCACUAAUGCACCGGAUCCCAUCAGAACUCCGAAGUUAACCGUGCUUGGGCGAGAGUAGUACUAAGAUGGGUGACCUCUUGGGAAGUCCUCGUGUUGAACCCC